GCAAGCUCCUUUCUGUAACUCAGGGGUCAUGAGAGUUUCUGUGUGAUGUGUUCUGCGUGACUCUACUGGGUGUUGUGAGAGAAGGUUAGUCAAGCUCAGAACUCCAAACAUGUGUCUUCACUGGAUGCUGUGAAUUUAGCUCAAGCAAGCUCAGAACUUCACACAUGGAUUUAGUCACCUAUGAUGAUGUGCAGGUGAACUUCACUCAGGAUGAGUGGGCUUUGCUGGAUCCUUCUCAGAAGAGUCUCUACAAAGGUGUGAUGCUAGAGACCCAUAGGAAUCUCACAGCUAUAGGCAUGAAAGAAGUUGUUCUGCAGAGCAACCCUCUGAGUUUUUUCAAUGUGGUAAAGCCUUUGCAUAUGAGAGUCGUAGUCAAAGGCAUCAAAUAAAACAUACUGGAGAGAAACACCAUGACUGUAACCAAUGUGGUAAGGACUUUAGAACAAGGAAUGACCUCCAAAUACAUAAGCGAACACAUACAGGAGAGAAACCCUAUGAAUGUAACCAAUGUGGUAAAGCCUUUGCAAGCAGUAGUGACCUCGAAAAACAUAAACGAACACAUACAGGAGAGAAACCCUAUGAAUGUAACCAAUGUGGUAAAGCCUUUGCAGAAAGCAGUACUCUCCAAAUCCAUAACCGAACACAUACAGGAGAGAAACCCUAUGAAUGUAACCAAUGUGGAAAAGCCUUUGCAAGAAGGUGUGACCUCCAAAAACAUAAACGAACUCAUACAGGAGAGAAACCCUAUGAAUGUAACCACUGUGGUAAAGCCUUUGCACAAAGCAGUUCUCUCCGAAUCCAUAAGCGAACACAUACAGGAGAGAAACCCUAUGAAAGUAAACAAUGUGGUAAAGCCUUUGCACAAAGCAGUCAUCUCCGAAAACAUAACUGAACACAUACAGGAGAGAGACAAUAUGAAUGUAACUAGUAUGGUAAAGCCUUUGCAGGAAGCAGUGGUCUCCAAUGCCAUAAAAGAUCACAUACACGAAAGACACCAUAUGAAUGUAACCAAGGUGGUAAACCCUUUGAAGGAAGCAGUGUUCUUGAAUAUCAUAAUCGAACACACACAGCUGAAAAACCCUAUGAAUUUAACCAAUGUAGUAAAGCCUUUGCAGGAAGGAGUGACCUUUAAAGAGAAAGGACCAUACAGGAGAGAAACUCUAUGUAGGUAUCUGAUGUUAUAAAGCCUUUGCAGCAAGCAUUGAUCUGCAAGUACAUAAAUGAACACAUACCAGAGAAGAACCUUUUAAACGUAACCAAUGUGGUAAAGCUUUUUCGAAAAACGAUAGUCUUUACAUACAUAAAAGUACAUAUAGUUGAGAGAAAUGCUUUGAUUUUAACCAAUGUGGUUAAACUAUUUCAAAAAGCAGUCAUCAACAAUAUCAUGAAAGAACACGUAUAGGAGAGACAUUUUUGAAUGUUAGCAAUGGUGCUUUUACACCUUUUUCACAAAGCAUUGGCCUCUAAAUAUAUAAAGGUACACAUACAGGAGAGAAACCCUAUGAAUAUCAGCAAUGUUUUAAAGCACUUCUACAUCACAAUUAUCUUCAAAUCUGUAAAGAAACAUGAGGUGGACAGAAAUCUUCUGAAUAACACCAAUUAGGGAAAGCAAUUGUACAAAAGAGUCAUCUCCCAACACAAAAGUAUACACACUAGAUAAAAACCCUAUGAAUAUAGGCAAUGUGGUAAACAUUUUAUAAGUCACAGUAGUCUCUAAGUAAAUAAAAGGAGACACAGUUGAGAGAAACCCUAUGAAAGUUAACAAAUCAACAAAGCCUUUUACAUUAAAAUCUUCAAAUACAUAAAAGAAGACAUAGAAGUGAGAAACCCUAUGUCUCCAAGCUGUGUGGUAUUGCUUUCACUUGUCAGUCAUAUUCAAAGACACAAAAGAAAACAAAAUGUAGACAAAAGGCUGAGUGUAUUUAAUAUGGUGAAACUUUUUGAAUAUUUCUAGAGUCUUCACAAUGAAACAUACCAUACUGAAAAGAAAUUUAGGAAUAUAAUAUGGUGAAGCCUUUUUUAGAUUUCCCAAAUCUUCAUCAUUAUGAAAGAGAAACCCCAUGAAUGCAUUCAAUAUGGGGAAGCCUUUAAACAUUUCAAAUUCUUCAUCAUCAUGAAAAUAAUCAUACAAAGGAGAUCAAGGGGAUACAAGGCAUGUUUCUUAUUGUCUUGCUUGAGUUACAGUCCUGACAUCCUUUGCUGAUAAAUAUCAAUGUGGAAAGUGUGAGCUGGAUUAAACCCUUUCCUCCCCAACUGCUUCUUGGUCAUGAUGUUUAUGCAGGCAUAGAAACCCUGACUAAGACAAAUUGGUAUCAGGGGUGGGGUAUUUUUGUGACAACCUCACCAUUAUUUUGGGAGGACGGUAGAAGGACUUUGGAACUUUGGGCUAGAAGAUCCAUUCUUUGUUAAGAACUCUGUGGGAUGUUGUGUAGGAGUUUGAAAGAUAAUGUUGAGAACCGUGCAGAAGAUGGAGGCCUGACCUGUGAAAUUUCAGAGGUAAAAUUAAAGCCUCUUUUUUGGGCCAUUGUUACUUUGUGAAGAUUCUGUGGUUCUGGUUAGCUGGGGCUGAAGAAUCAGCUGUGAUUAACAAGAUACCAGAACUACUAGAGUGAAAACUUUGCAUUACUGGGACUAUUGAUGCUGGUUCGCUGGAGCUAAGAAAUUAGCAGUGAUUAAGAAGAAACCAGCAUCAUUGAAGUGGCAUCAUCUGUGAAGUGUUUUCUGAGAGCACAGAGGAAGAUAAUCAAGGUUCUAGAGAUAAUCAAGGUUGUACCUUGCGCUGUGGCUGGACUUGGUAGUGUGUAAGACUUACCCACGUGGUACUGGUUUUGAAGGCAUGAAGGGAUAAUGCAGAGCAGCUAAGGCCCAGCACUGUGAGAAGCCAUGGAAGGCCACUGGUGAAGGUGCAGACUCAGGUGAAAUUGAUGGCCCAGUAGUGAAGAGAUCAUGCAGUGUUUUGGAGUUGCCAGGUCCAUGAAUGACCACGAAGAACAGCAGCAACAGUAAAGUACAGGCAUCUGGAGCCUAGAGGACGAGCUGUGUGCUAAAAAGGACAGGGUUGGAGAAGUGACUCAAGCCCUUGGAGUUGUCCAAAAGAUCGUGAGUUGGAUCCCAGACAUUGGACAGUUGGAGUUUAAUUUUUACUUUUGAUUUUGACUGUGCCCUGAUAUUUUUCCCUCUUGAAGGAAAAAAGUAUUUUAGUGGAUUCCAUAGUUAAGAGACUUUUAAUUGUAAAAGGCUUUGGAUUUUAAAGGAUAUUGGAUAUUUUAAAAAGGAUUUAACUUUUAAUAUGUAAAGUCUGUGGGGCUUUCAAAGUUAUAUAUAUCUUGGGGAUGAAUAAGACACUAGUGAUGUGUUUGUGUGUCAGGUUGACAAGGUGUAAAUUGUACUGGCUAGUUUUGUGUCAACUUGACACAAACUGAAGUUAUCACAGAGAAAGGAGCUUCAGUUGGGAAAUGCCUCCAUGAGAUCCAGCUUUAAGACAUUUUCUCAAUUUGUGAUGAAGGGGAAAGGCCCCUUGUGGGUGGGACAUCUCUCUGCACUGGUAGUCUUGGGUUCUACAAAAGAGCAGUCUGAGCAAGCCAGGGAAAGCAAGCCAGUAAAGAAACAUCCCGCUGUGGCCUCUGCAUCAGAUCCUGCUUCUUGACCUGCUUGAGUUCCAGUCCCGACUUCCUUGGUGAUGAGCAGUAAGCAGUAGGAAAGUGUAAGCCGAAUAAACCCUUUCCUCCCCAA
Molecule: long non-coding RNA, 3732 nt
Organism: Mus musculus (house mouse)
Lineage: Eukaryota; Metazoa; Chordata; Mammalia; Rodentia; Muridae
Product: predicted gene 14403
Exons: 5
Source: RefSeq, marked validated